RNAcentral lists this ribosomal RNA (2901 nucleotides) under Escherichia coli. RNAcentral's name for it is "23S ribosomal RNA". It matches the Rfam family "Bacterial large subunit ribosomal RNA". Lineage: Bacteria; Pseudomonadati; Pseudomonadota; Gammaproteobacteria; Enterobacterales; Enterobacteriaceae. The record is from RNAcentral.
GUUAAGCGACUAAGCGUACACGGUGGAUGCCCUGGCAGUCAGAGGCGAUGAAGGACGUGCUAAUCUGCGAUAAGCGUCGGUAAGGUGAUAUGAACCGUUAUAACCGGCGAUUUCCGAAUGGGGAAACCCAGUGUGAUUUGUCACACUAUCAUUAACUGAAUCCAUAGGUUAAUGAGGCGAACCGGGGGAACUGAAACAUCUAAGUACCCCGAGGAAAAGAAAUCAACCGAGAUUCCCCCAGUAGCGGCGAGCGAACGGGGAGCAGCCCAGAGCCUGAAUCAGUGUGUGUGUUAGUGGAAGCGUCUGGAAAGGCGCGCGAUACAGGGUGACAGCCCCGUACACAAAAAUGCACAUACUGUGAGCUCGAUGAGUAGGGCGGGACACGUGGUAUCCUGUCUGAAUAUGGGGGGACCAUCCUCCAAGGCUAAAUACUCCUGACUGACCGAUAGUGAACCAGUACCGUGAGGGAAAGGCGAAAAGAACCCCGGCGAGGGGAGUGAAAAAGAACCUGAAACCGUGUACGUACAAGCAGUGGGAGCCUCUUUAUGGGGUGACUGCGUACCUUUUGUAUAAUGGGUCAGCGACUUAUAUUCUGUAGCAAGGUUAACCGAAUAGGGGAGCCGAAGGGAAACCGAGUCUUAACUGGGCGUUAAGUUGCAGGGUAUAGACCCGAAACCCGGUGAUCUAGCCAUGGGCAGGUUGAAGGUUGGGUAACACUAACUGGAGGACCGAACCGACUAAUGUUGAAAAAUUAGCGGAUGACUUGUGGCUGGGGGUGAAAGGCCAAUCAAACCGGGAGAUAGCUGGUUCUCCCCGAAAGCUAUUUAGGUAGCGCCUCGUGAACUCAUCUCCGGGGGUAGAGCACUGUUUCGGCAAGGGGGUCAUCCCGACUUACCAACCCGAUGCAAACUGCGAAUACCGGAGAAUGUUAUCACGGGAGACACACGGCGGGUGCUAACGUCCGUCGUGAAGAGGGAAACAACCCAGACCGCCAGCUAAGGUCCCAAAGUCAUGGUUAAGUGGGAAACGAUGUGGGAAGGCCCAGACAGCCAGGAUGUUGGCUUAGAAGCAGCCAUCAUUUAAAGAAAGCGUAAUAGCUCACUGGUCGAGUCGGCCUGCGCGGAAGAUGUAACGGGGCUAAACCAUGCACCGAAGCUGCGGCAGCGACACUAUGUGUUGUUGGGUAGGGGAGCGUUCUGUAAGCCUGCGAAGGUGUGCUGUGAGGCAUGCUGGAGGUAUCAGAAGUGCGAAUGCUGACAUAAGUAACGAUAAAGCGGGUGAAAAGCCCGCUCGCCGGAAGACCAAGGGUUCCUGUCCAACGUUAAUCGGGGCAGGGUGAGUCGACCCCUAAGGCGAGGCCGAAAGGCGUAGUCGAUGGGAAACAGGUUAAUAUUCCUGUACUUGGUGUUACUGCGAAGGGGGGACGGAGAAGGCUAUGUUGGCCGGGCGACGGUUGUCCCGGUUUAAGCGUGUAGGCUGGUUUUCCAGGCAAAUCCGGAAAAUCAAGGCUGAGGCGUGAUGACGAGGCACUACGGUGCUGAAGCAACAAAUGCCCUGCUUCCAGGAAAAGCCUCUAAGCAUCAGGUAACAUCAAAUCGUACCCCAAACCGACACAGGUGGUCAGGUAGAGAAUACCAAGGCGCUUGAGAGAACUCGGGUGAAGGAACUAGGCAAAAUGGUGCCGUAACUUCGGGAGAAGGCACGCUGAUAUGUAGGUGAAGUCCCUCGCGGAUGGAGCUGAAAUCAGUCGAAGAUACCAGCUGGCUGCAACUGUUUAUUAAAAACACAGCACUGUGCAAACACGAAAGUGGACGUAUACGGUGUGACGCCUGCCCGGUGCCGGAAGGUUAAUUGAUGGGGUCAGCGCAAGCGAAGCUCUUGAUCGAAGCCCCGGUAAACGGCGGCCGUAACUAUAACGGUCCUAAGGUAGCGAAAUUCCUUGUCGGGUAAGUUCCGACCUGCACGAAUGGCGUAAUGAUGGCCAGGCUGUCUCCACCCGAGACUCAGUGAAAUUGAACUCGCUGUGAAGAUGCAGUGUACCCGCGGCAAGACGGAAAGACCCCGUGAACCUUUACUAUAGCUUGACACUGAACAUUGAGCCUUGAUGUGUAGGAUAGGUGGGAGGCUUAGAAGUGUGGACGCCAGUCUGCAUGGAGCCGACCUUGAAAUACCACCCUUUAAUGUUUGAUGUUCUAACGUGGACCCGUGAUCCGGGUUGCGGACAGUGUCUGGUGGGUAGUUUGACUGGGGCGGUCUCCUCCUAAAGAGUAACGGAGGAGCACGAAGGUUGGCUAAUCCUGGUCGGACAUCAGGAGGUUAGUGCAAUGGCAUAAGCCAGCUUGACUGCGAGCGUGACGGCGCGAGCAGGUGCGAAAGCAGGUCAUAGUGAUCCGGUGGUUCUGAAUGGAAGGGCCAUCGCUCAACGGAUAAAAGGUACUCCGGGGAUAACAGGCUGAUACCGCCCAAGAGUUCAUAUCGACGGCGGUGUUUGGCACCUCGAUGUCGGCUCAUCACAUCCUGGGGCUGAAGUAGGUCCCAAGGGUAUGGCUGUUCGCCAUUUAAAGUGGUACGCGAGCUGGGUUUAGAACGUCGUGAGACAGUUCGGUCCCUAUCUGCCGUGGGCGCUGGAGAACUGAGGGGGGCUGCUCCUAGUACGAGAGGACCGGAGUGGACGCAUCACUGGUGUUCGGGUUGUCAUGCCAAUGGCACUGCCCGGUAGCUAAAUGCGGAAGAGAUAAGUGCUGAAAGCAUCUAAGCACGAAACUUGCCCCGAGAUGAGUUCUCCCUGACCCUUUAAGGGUCCUGAAGGAACGUUGAAGACGACGACGUUGAUAGGCCGGGUGUGUAAGCGCAGCGAUGCGUUGAGCUAACCGGUACUAAUGAACCGUGAGGCUUAACCUU